This is a long non-coding RNA of Sinocyclocheilus rhinocerous, 742 nucleotides long. RefSeq lists it as uncharacterized. The record is from RefSeq and is a predicted model, not a curated record. Lineage: Eukaryota; Metazoa; Chordata; Actinopteri; Cypriniformes; Cyprinidae. The transcript has 3 exons.
AUAUAUAUAUACACACACACACACACACAAAAAGAUAGCAUUUACUAGUCUGUGUGACCUUAUUGUAAAAGCGUUAAAUUUUUCUCUCUCUUAUGGAGAUGAAAUGUGACCUGGACAUUUUUGUGAGAUUCACCUUAUGAAGAGGUGCAGUUUGGGUAUUGAGCAAGACCUGUUGAAUUCUCCCCCAUAGCUGUGGGGCUAAACAGAUGUUGUGUCUUCGAGCGCGGCUGGCUGACAGGUUUUGGACUGCGUGGAUCUGGUUUGGUUGAUCAUCUGAAUGAUCUGCAUCAAAUCUCUCCUUGUGUUUCUACCAAAGACUGCUUCAGCCACACACACAUUUUUACAUCCUGUAUAUAAACAUGAUCACACGGUUUGGAGAGUACGUUCACUGAAGAUCCAUCGUGCUAAAUUUUAUUUUUUUAACACAAAGUAUGCAACAAGCCAGAGAUGAUCUCAACUGGGAUCUAAAACAUUAAAUGUGACUGUUACAUCAUUUGAUUUGUAUGCAUUCAAGCAGAAUUCCUCCUCCAUUCAUCUGUUGUCGAUUUGCAUCUCUGAGAGUCCGUUAUACUCGGUUCUUCUCAAAGCGGUUUGACUUGUGUGUGUAGGAGAAAUAGUUCACUUAAAACAGAACAUUCUCUCAUUAUUUACUCACCCUCAUGUCGUUCCAAACCUGCAUGACUUUCUUUCAUCUGCAGAACAUAGAAGAUGUUUGGAAGAAUGUUGGGGUCUAAACAACAUC